GAUGAAGAACGUAGCGAAAUGCGAUAAGUAGUGUGAAUUGCAGAUUUCAGUGAAUCAUCGAAUCUUUGAACGCACAUUGCGCCCUUUGGUAUUCCUUAGGGCAUGCCUGUUCGAGCGUCAUUUAAACCUUCAAGCUCAGCUUGGUGAUGGGUGACUGUCCGCUGCCUCCCCCCGGGGUGCGCCGCGGACUCGCCUCAAAUUUAUUGGCGGCCGGUACGUUGGCUUCGAGCGCAGCAGAAACGCGUAACUCGAGGUCUCCGUGGCGGCUCCCACAAGCAACCUUCAUUAUUUUGACCUCGGAUCAGGUAGGGAUACCCGCUGAACUUAAGCAUAUCAAUAGCGGAGGA
This 347-nucleotide unclassified non-coding RNA is filed under the name soil metagenome. Its description in RNAcentral is "partial contains 5.8S ribosomal RNA, internal transcribed spacer 2, and large subunit ribosomal RNA". The stretch from base 1 to 120 matches the Rfam family "5.8S ribosomal RNA", at positions 35 to 154 of the family's 154-position model. The record is from RNAcentral.